This 63-nucleotide transfer RNA is filed under the name Escherichia coli B367. RNAcentral's name for it is "partial tRNA-Ser". The record is from RNAcentral. Lineage: Bacteria; Pseudomonadati; Pseudomonadota; Gammaproteobacteria; Enterobacterales; Enterobacteriaceae.
AGCUGGAUAGAGUACUCGGCUACGAACCGAGCGGUCGGAGGUUCGAAUCCCCCGGAUGCACCA